RNAcentral lists this ribosomal RNA (858 nucleotides) under uncultured bacterium. RNAcentral's name for it is "bacterial SSU rRNA". It matches the Rfam family "Bacterial small subunit ribosomal RNA", at positions 524 to 1381 of the family's 1533-position model. The record is from RNAcentral.
UACCUAGGGUGCGAGCGUUAAUCGGAAUUACUGGGCGUAAAGCGUGCGCAGGUGGUUUGUUAAGUCAGAUGUGAAAGCCCCGAGCUUAACUUGGGAACUGCGUUUGAGACUGGCAAGCUAGAGUCUGUCAGAGGGGGGUAGAAUUCCACGUGUAGCAGUGAAAUGCGUAGAGAUGUGGAGGAAUACCAAUGGCGAAGGCAGCCCCCUGGGAUAAGACUGACGCUCAUGCACGAAAGCGUGGGGAGCAAACAGGAUUAGAUACCCUGGUAGUCCACGCCCUAAACGAUGUCAACUGGUUGUUGGGCAACUUGAUUGUUCAGUAACGAAGCUAACGCGAGAAGUUGACCGCCUGGGGAGUACGGUCGCAAGAUUAAAACUCAAAGGAAUUGACGGGGACCCGCACAAGCGGUGGAUGAUGUGGAUUAAUUCGAUGCAACGCGAAAAACCUUACCUACCCUUGACAUGUACGGAAGUCUGCUGAGAGGUGGAUGUGCCUGAAAGGGAACCGUAACACAGGUGCUGCAUGGCUGUCGUCAGCUCAUGUCGUGAGAUGUUGGGUUAAGUCCCGCAACGAGCGCAACCCUUGCUAUUAAUUGCCAUCAUUAAGUUGGGCACUUUAAUAGGACUGCUGGUGAUAAACCGGAGGAAGGUGGGGAUGACGUCAAGUCCUCAUGGCCCUUAUGGGUAGGGCUUCACACGUCAUACAAUGGCCGGUACAGAGGGAUGCCAACCCGCGAGGGGGAGCCAAUCUCAGGAAGCCGGUCGUAGUCCGGAUUGUUCUCUGCAACUCGAGAGCAUGAAGUCGGAAUCGCUAGUAAUCGCGGAUCAGCAUGUCGCGGUGAAUACGUUCCCGGGUCU